GACGAACCGAGCGAACGUUGUUCGGAAUCACUGGGCUUAAAGGGCGCGUAGGCGGGUGCUCAAGUCUGUGGUGAAAUCCUCCGGCUCAACCGGAGAACGGCCAUGGAUACUGGGUGCCUCGAGGGUGAUAGGGGUAUGCGGAACUAUCGGUGGAGCGGUGAAGUGCGUUGAUAUCGAUAGGAACUCCGGUGGCGAAGGCGGCAUACUGGAUCACUUCUGACGCUGAGGCGCGAAAGCCAGGGGAGCGAACGGG
RNAcentral lists this ribosomal RNA (253 nucleotides) under uncultured bacterium. RNAcentral describes it as "partial 16S ribosomal RNA". It matches the Rfam family "Bacterial small subunit ribosomal RNA", at positions 524 to 776 of the family's 1533-position model. The record is from RNAcentral.